RNAcentral lists this ribosomal RNA (493 nucleotides) under uncultured bacterium. RNAcentral describes it as "partial 16S ribosomal RNA". It matches the Rfam family "Bacterial small subunit ribosomal RNA", at positions 32 to 507 of the family's 1533-position model. The record is from RNAcentral.
AACGCUGGCGGCGUGCCUAAUACAUGCAAGUCGAGCGAACAGAUAAGGAGCUUGCUCCUUUGACGUUAGCGGCGGACGGGUGAGUAACACGUGGGUAACCUACCUAUAAGACUGGGAUAACUUCGGGAAACCGGAGCUAAUACCGGAUAACAUUUGGAACCGCAUGGUUCUAAAGUGAAAGAUGGUUUUGCUAUCACUUAUAGAUGGACCCGCGCCGUAUUAGCUAGUUGGUAAGGUAACGGCUUACCAAGGCAACGAUACGUAGCCGACCUGAGAGGGUGAUCGGCCACACUGGAACUGAGACACGGUCCAGACUCCUACGGGAGGCAGCAGUAGGGAAUCUUCCGCAAUGGGCGAAAGCCUGACGGAGCAACGCCGCGUGAGUGAUGAAGGGUUUCGGCUCGUAAAACUCUGUUAUUAGGGAAGAACAAAUGUGUAAGUAACUGUGCACGUCUUGACGGUACCUAAUCAGAAAGCCACGGCUAACUACGUG